This 65-nucleotide transfer RNA is filed under the name Paraliparis dipterus. Its description in RNAcentral is "tRNA-Cys". Lineage: Eukaryota; Metazoa; Chordata; Actinopteri; Perciformes; Liparidae. The record is from RNAcentral.
AGCCCUAUGGUGUAUUCAUGUAAGAUUGCAAAUCUUGAGAGGCAAACUAACCUUUGCUGGGGCUU